Molecule: long non-coding RNA, 1316 nt
Organism: Brassica napus (rape)
Lineage: Eukaryota; Viridiplantae; Streptophyta; Magnoliopsida; Brassicales; Brassicaceae
Exons: 2
Source: RefSeq, a predicted model, not a curated record
CAUAUCGGUUUUAAAGCUAUGGUCUCCGUGCUUAUUUCUCUAUGCUAUUCACUAUAGGAGGUUUCAAAAAAUAUGAAAUAAAGUUUUUUAAAAACUUGAUUUAUUACGAUAUUACAAUUAAGAUGAAUUAAGUAUAUGCAUUCAAAUAGUUUUGCCUCUGAAAUUAAAGUUUACUCUUUUUUCUAAGAUUUUAAAAUUUUGCAGCUUUUCAUCUAAGUCUCAGUUUCCUUAUAUACUUAACCAUGAGUACAAAAAGUGAAAGCGAAGCUAACUCAAAGUACCAUUCUCAUAUUUCAAUCAAAUGUCAGCUUCUUUGGCUGCGGCAUCAGUAUCAACAACAACAGCAGCUAUAAAGUGCGUCACUGUUUGUGUUGGAGUUGUGGGCUAAACUUGUCUUCUUAUCUCCUACUCAAGAUAUGUUCCAACAGUGUUCGACAAUAUCUAUGCAAAUGAUGUAGUCAAUGGCAAAACUGUCAAUCUUGGUCUUUGGGAUACUGCUCGUAAAAUAAUUUGUCACUUUCGUUAAAAGUCUUGUUCUUCUAUCAGGUUUGUAUUCUCAACAUUGUGUCAAAUUCUAAUAUUUUGACCCUUUAGGAGAAAUGAUGACUUUGUUUCUCAACAAUCUAGAAGUUUCUAGGUAUUUUAAAAAGAAUGGAUCUUUACUCUUAACGCUCGUCUUUGCCAACCAUUUGAUAUAAAAAAAAUGCUUCCUGAAUUCAUGAUUAAAGUUCGUUCAUGUUUUUCAAAACUAUUAUCAGACAGAUUAUAAUUCUUGGGCAGUAUCUUUGGUGUUUUAUUAUGAAUAUUGUGGAGUAUCGUAUUUGGUAUUUUAUUAUAUUACAGGUCAAGAAGAUUACAAUAGGCUUAGAUGAGUUAUAGAGAGGAGCAGAUGUUUUUAUUUUUGCCUUCUCUCUUAUCAACAGGCCUAGCUUUGAGAAAAUUGCUAAAAAGGUUUAAACUUUCUUUCCACUUCAGUUUCACUGCAAUGUAACUUUAUCACACACCAUCUCAUGUGCUUCUGGUUCAAAUUUCUUUUGCAGUGGGACAUUGAGCUGCAACAUUAUGCCCCUAACGUGCCUACCAUUUCAUUAAACCCAAACUGGCAAAUAAAUAUUACAAUGCAAGGAGGAAGCCCAAAUUAAGAUUACAGCCCAAUAACAAUUUUAAUGACCAGCACGUGUAAUCUAAGAGAAGCUAUGAAGAUCUCGAGAUGUGAUGUCAUCGCUAUCUCGUUUCCAGCGAAACCACCACCAUAAUCCUUUUCUUUUGUCAAACCACCACCGUAAUCCUAGUUCCAGUUCUAGAACAUCAUCCAU